This 63-nucleotide transfer RNA is filed under the name Sphaeroma serratum. RNAcentral describes it as "tRNA-Leu". The record is from RNAcentral. Lineage: Eukaryota; Metazoa; Arthropoda; Malacostraca; Isopoda; Sphaeromatidae.
CUUCAGGUGGCAGAGAAUGCGUAGAAUUUAAGCUUCUACGACGAGGGUGGGCCUCCUUGAAGA